AAUGGGCGCAAGCCUGAUCCAGCCAUGCCGCGUGAGUGAAGAAGGCCUUCGGGUUGUAAAGCUCUUUCGGCCGGGAAGAAAUCGUGUUCUCUAACAUAGGACAUGGAUGACGGUACCGGACUAAGAAGCACCGGCUAACUACGUGCCAGCAGCCGCGGUAAUACGUAGGGUGCGAGCGUUAAUCGGAAUUACUGGGCGUAAAGCGUGCGCAGGCGGUUUGCUAAGACAGGUGUGAAAUCCCCGGGCUUAACCUGGGAACUGCGCUUGUGACUGGCAGGCUAGAGUACGGCAGAGGGGGGUGGAAUUCCUGGUGUAGCAGUGAAAUGCGUAGAGAUCAGGAGGAACACCGAUGGCGAAGGCAGCCCCCUGGGCCUGUACUGACGCUCAUGCACGAAAGCGUGGGGAGCAAA
Molecule: ribosomal RNA, 410 nt
Filed under: uncultured bacterium
Lineage: Bacteria
Description: bacterial SSU rRNA
Rfam family: Bacterial small subunit ribosomal RNA
Source: RNAcentral